UACGUAGGGAGCAAGCGUUGUCCGGAAUUAUUGGGCGUAAAGAGCUCGUAGGCGGUUUGUCGCGUCGGCUGUGAAAACCUGGGGCUCAACCCCGGGCCUGCAGCCGAUACGGGCAAACUAGAAUUCGGUAGGGGAGACUGGAAUUCCUGGUGUAGCGGUGAAAUGCGCAGAUAUCAGGAGGAACACCGGUGGCGAAGGCGGGUCUCUGGGCCGAUAUUGACGCUGAGGAGCGAAAGCGUGGGGAGCGAACAGG
This 253-nucleotide ribosomal RNA is filed under the name uncultured bacterium. RNAcentral's name for it is "partial 16S ribosomal RNA". It matches the Rfam family "Bacterial small subunit ribosomal RNA", at positions 524 to 776 of the family's 1533-position model. The record is from RNAcentral.